UGGUGGAAGAGGAGAGGCUUGCACUGGCUUCUCACUCCCAGGCUCCGCAGCAGGAGCUCCAGGAAUAGGGUAAGGAGGAUAAAGAGGAUAUGGAAAAUCAGGACCAGUGGGAUACGACAUAUGUGGAAAAGGAGGUGGAUGAUAAGGUACAGCGUGCAUGGGGUAAGCAGCAGCAGCAGGAGGAGGAGGAGUGGGGCCAGUUUGGUUGCUCUUCGAGCCUGGCUUUGAAUAACGGCCAGGUGGAUUCUUGUGCGCAGGGUUAGCCUUUCCACCAGCCUUAGAUUUAGCAUGACCAGUUACUACAGCCUACAGAUCAAACAAUAAACUUAAAACAAACUCAAUGCUAAAGGCGCGUGAAUCACAGACGACGUGAACUUUUAAAAACGUCAUAAAGCAUCAUGGAUCAAAUUCGAUAAGAGCUUGUUCGAUCAAGUUUCGCAAAGCUUAUAGGUUUAUUGAAUGACCUGAGAAGGAUUUGAGAUUGAGGUCGGAAUGGAUUUAGCCGCCGCCGCCGGAGGAGGAGGAGGAUUCUUAGGACGGGGUUGUUGCGCGUCGGCGAGGGCAGGCCACGAGUGAGCACCCAUUACCGGUGCGUCGGCGGGCUCUAUCGGAGCUGUUUUCCACGGAGACUUAGUCUCGGAGCCAGUGACGUGGCCGAUCAUUUCUCGAUCAUCGGCUAAUGAUCUCUCGGUCUCCGCCAUGAUCAGAAGCUCGAUUGAAUUGGAUCAGAGGCAAUGUGAUAAAAGAGAGAGCCGGGAAGCAAAAAAGUAUGCAAAGGAGGGAGUGUGGGUGUGUGUUUUGGGUGGCGCUUUUAAGAGUAAUACCGUAAAACACUUGACAGCAAAACCCUAGUUCCACAAUUCUUUUUAAUUCAAUUAUUAUCCUUUUUGUGAUUUUAAUAGAAAAUGCAUUGUUCUUUUUCGUGACGGUACAUUUAAUUGUACAUUUAAUGUCAUAUUUAUUUUGUUUCUUGGACAUGAAAUUUCAUUGUUCUUUAGUAUGACAACAAUUUUAAAUUUAUUACUCCCUCCGUUUUUUAAUAUAAGUCGUUUUACAGCUAUGCACGUAGAUUAAGAAAACCAUUAAUUUCUUAUAUUUUCUAAACAAAAACAUCAUUAAUUAUUUACCUAACCACAAUUUAACCAAUAGAAAAAUAGAAGAUAUAUUACUAUUGGUCAUACAACAUUAAUUAUUAAUAAAUUUUACAUAGAAAACCGAAAACGACAUAUAAUUUGGCUCUCUGCCCUUCGUCUCUUCAAAUCAUUAGUGAGACUUGUUUUCUUUAUGGCUGGUGAUUGGAUCCUUUGCUCGGAAGUCGGCUAUGCUACGGUAUUCUUCCUUCAGUAGCUUCUCUAGAUCAGGAUGCUUCCUUAUGGUUGGUUCUUUUUGGCCUCGAUAGUGGUGGAAGGCCCUGCAGAAGAGAUAAUUUCUUAAGAGACAUCACCAACGAUCAACCAAUUGUCUAUAAACAAAAAAGAGAGCCCUUACCAAUAUUUCUCCAAGCCGUAUAGGUUUCCCUUAUGGUAGAAGUCAAGCGUUAGCUGCUCGAAGUCCUUGUAAAGGUCCUCUUCGAAUUGCUUCUCCAGACCAUAACUAAAGACAUAGAGCAGCAAGUUGGUGAGAUUGGGUUUGAACUAGAGAGCUUAUCAGAUGGAAAACGGAUGAAGGUAUUACCUAUAAAACCUGAAGAGACACUCCAACCCAUAGUUGUAGUUGCCAGCUGCAUCCUCAAGAGCAAACUUCUGGAAAUCCUCAUACAUAGACGGGACAAACGUUUCUCUGAGGAAAUAGGACCAAAACCGGUACAAAUGAUUCAUUUCCUGAAAACAGAACAGCCAAAAUUGAGACACAUUUCCAAGAAUUAUCUCUCAUAAGAGACCAAGGUGAAAGCAUGGUUUACCUCACUGCAUCCGCUCCCCAGCUUCUUUCUAUCAUUUAAGCACCGCUUGCGAUACUUCAAGUACCUAUGGGAAAGAAAAAGAAAUGAGAUUAGAAGAUCUUCUCUCACAAAAGUAAUGCUCCAUAACAAUAAACUCAAGUAGUAUAACCGAAUAACUAUACUCACUUUUCUUGUUUGAACCCAUUGUCUUCCAGCAGUUGGUGGCUGGGAUGUUGAAAAGGUGGAAAUGAUUUUGGUAAAGACCCCACAGGUGGACUGCUGCCAGAAAGAGAGCAUUGUGGUGACGAGCUCAACUUUGAAAGCCUCUGGCUGUAAACCGUCACACAAACAAAAUUAUUAAAAAUGAAAAGGCAGAUUAAAAUUAAGAAUAAGUUGGGAAUAUCAUGGAAUUGCUAGGAUACUGACCCAGGAUUGUCUGGUGGUGUAGAACCAAAGAAGAACCCAAUGGAGCUACUAGGCGGACUUUCUGAAGUAUGAGAACUGAGACUAGCCCCAUGGUUUCUCAUGUUGCCCGAGAAGAACCUCCGUGCAUGUGCCGUAUGGUGUUUGUGGGCUCCCUUACUCUGCUUCCUCCUAAUGCUAUGCUCUUCACUUCCACCGUUAGCAGCAGAAUUUUCGCCUAAUUUAGUGUUCAAUCCUCCCCCAGCUUUUACUUUUCCGUCUCUGUUAUCCAAAUGGGAAAUGUUCUUCCUACGACCAGAUCGAUUCUUUUUGAGCUCCUGUUUCAUCAGAUUGGUGUUUAGAAACUAGACUCUAGAAAAGGUACAAUCAUAUCAUUUUGUCAACGAAAAGCCUAACCUGCUCAAAGUAGUAUAGACCAUCGUUUAUUGUGGAGGCAAGCUCCUUGGGAAUGUUUUUGGCUUUUGUUCCACUGAUUCCAGUGCCAUCACUUCUUCCACUAUUCUGUCCAGCAUACAAUGAAACAUGAAGACUUAGUUCCACCAACAAAGUGUUCAAGUAUAGAGGCAACAAGUUCCAUCAGUGUAAUACCUGGGUAACAAUCACAAGUUUCUGAAUAUCAUGAUCAUCAACAGCAAUAUCUUCGUCUUCAUCAUCAAUCCUACAGAAAUUCAAAGAACCCAAAGCAUUAAUUCCAAAACCUUUAUAUGAAGUUUCAGGUUCACAUUUAUAGGAAGCAAUAUUUAAAAACAAAGAGGGAUGAAGCAAUAUCAACAAUAAUCAAGACGUGCACACACUACCUUUUGGACAUGGAAAGACCACUCUUUCUUGGGCUUUUAUGCUCCAGAUCCAUUUCCUCAUCAAGCAAGAAUGUGUUUGAAAAAUCGCUUGACAAGACAUCCAUCUUUCUUUGUUCGUCUGAUAAUGAUUUCCGAUUAUCACUUUUGGUUCUUGAUGACUGAGCUCCCUGUACCACAAACGGAAAAGCUAUCAACUUGAACGAAAAGUUGGCAGUUUUCUAAUUAAAGGAAAAAAGGCUCUACCUCUGAAGAGAACGCAGUAGGCUUUAAAGAGUUUUUAAAGUUAUCUUUGCUUGUUACACUCUCUGAGGAAUCUUUGUCAUUGUCUCCAAUUUUCUCCUCAGAGGCCGACUUUUUAGAUGCAGGAACCCACUUAGACCACUCGUCACGCUUUCGUAUCUUGUCACCCUAUAAAACACCAACACUUCAACAGAAUUAGAAAAUCCCAACGUCUGAUUAUUACUAACACAAGCAAGAUGGCUUACGGUAGUCAGACCUGCACUUCAACAGAAGUAGAAAAUCUCAACGCAUAGACUAUAAACUCUACAUCCAUGGUCAUCAUCUUAACCUGUAAUUCAAGAGUAAGAAUACAGAAAUUAAAAGCAACACAUUUGUGUAAAAUGCAGAUGACAAAACAGAGUAAUGCACAGCAAGACAAGCUUAUGUUACGAGUUUUACCCUUUUGAAGUCAGCAAUGAUUUUGAUGGGAACCCAUCCUUGUUCAUCCAUUAAGGAAAUGAGGUACUGAUCAUUCUGAAGGUUUUCGUCACUGAAAAAAGGAAUCAAUAUACGGAAGGUGACAUGCUAUUAACCAUCAAAGAUGAACUCAAGGCAUGGAGAAAGUAUUAAAAGCACAAAAUAUAUAGAUGUAGACGCAUAACUUGCCUGAAGUAAUAUUCAAUUUGUUUUAUGACUCUAUCCUUUAAGUCGAGUUGUUCUGGAGACAGAGCUUGAGGACCCUGGUUACCAGGAUAUGGACCAAAGCGUGGAGGAUAGCCUCUUAUAGCUCCAGGGGGUGGACCCGGCAAGUAGUACACAGGACCUAUGUCAAAUGAAGAAACAAAAAAAAAUAUAUAGCAAUUUAGUUAUUAUCCUCUAGAUAUGCUCAACCUGUCCCUUGAGAGAGAAUCAACAUCUUACCGGGAAAGCCAGGACCAGGACCAACCAUGAACCCAGGACCUUGCCCCAUAUACGGAGGUCUCACAAAGUUCCUAGGUCCACCAGCAGGUCCAUGCGGCAUGUUUCUUGGGCCAAAACCCCUCUGAUGCUGUCUAGGCUCCCCUUGAGGAGGAGGUGGUGGAAGAGGAGAGGCUUGCACUGGCUUCUCACUCCCAGGCUCCGCAGCAGGAGCUCCAGGAAUAGGGUAAGGAGGAUAAAGAGGAUAUGGAAAAUCAGGACCAGUGGGAUACGACAUAUGUGGAAAAGGAGGUGGAUGAUAAGGUACAGCGUGCAUGGGGUAAGCAGCAGCAGCAGGAGGAGGAGGAGUGGGGCCAGUUUGGUUGCUCUUCGAGCCUGGCUUUGAAUAACGGCCAGGUGGAUUCUUGUGCGCAGGGUUAGCCUUUCCACCAGCCUUAGAUUUAGCAUGACCAGUUACUACAGCCUACAGAUCAAACAAUAAACU
Molecule: long non-coding RNA, 4720 nt
Filed under: Brassica napus (rape)
Lineage: Eukaryota; Viridiplantae; Streptophyta; Magnoliopsida; Brassicales; Brassicaceae
Description: long non-coding RNA (BNAP_LNC001129)
Source: RNAcentral